AUCUCUACAAGAUGCUCUAAUACCCCAUCUCUACAGGAUGCUGUAAUACCUUUCCUCUGUACUCUCAAACAGGCUACUGCAGUCACCUCUAUGGGAGUUAAGGAAGUCAUAUCUAUCACCAGCCCUUCAGAAGAAGGCGGCCGGCUCACCAUACUCACUUCUGGCCAUAAAACAGCUCCCUUAAUUCUGUCCCAUGUUAAAGUUCCAUCACACCAAUGACAAUAUCAAGUAACAUUACACAACACAGAAAACAACAUGGAGUCCACAGAGAAGAAGCAAACACAACCCCAGCCUACCCCACCCCUACUCCAUCAAUCAGCUCUGGGGAUAGAGAGAGCUGCCACAGGAAGACAACUGCAGAAGGUGAGCCAGAGCUCACCACAGCCUCUCCUUGCCCUUCCAGCCUCCAGGAUGAUAACAGACAGGUUUCUGUGGAGUGUAAGCUGCCAGGAUUAAUGCAGACA
This 464-nucleotide long non-coding RNA is filed under the name Mus pahari (shrew mouse). RNAcentral describes it as "predicted gene 16120 (MGP_PahariEiJ_G0003211.1)". Lineage: Eukaryota; Metazoa; Chordata; Mammalia; Rodentia; Muridae. The record is from RNAcentral.